CGGGCGGGUCUGAGGUAGUGGAGGCUCCAUCUUCUCCUCCUCCGCCCUCAAAAGUAAACUUUGCCACUCUGCUCGCGGGGUCCUCAGUUCUCCUCGCAGUGCCUCCGGGCGGCGGGGGCCGGCGUCAGGGCCUGUCUGCCUCCCCGGGCGUGGGGCCUUGGGCGCCAUGGACGCGUCGGCGCUGGAGCGGGACGCCGUGCAGUUCGCGCGGCUGGCAGUGCAGCGCGACCACGAAGGCCGCUACUCUGAGGCGGUGUUUUACUACAAGGACUCAGUUAAACAACUUCUGUUCAAAAACUGGCCUACAAAAUGACGCUCAGUGGUAGCUGCUUUGGAAACAGCAUGAGGCCUGUGAGGUGUAGCACACAUUCAGCUCCUGCAGAGAGGGGCUGUCACUUGCA
This 401-nucleotide long non-coding RNA is filed under the name Rattus norvegicus (Norway rat). RNAcentral describes it as "long non-coding RNA NONRATT011289". Lineage: Eukaryota; Metazoa; Chordata; Mammalia; Rodentia; Muridae. The record is from RNAcentral.